GCCUGGCUAGCUCAGAUGGUAGAGCAUGAGACUUUUAAUCUCAGGGUCAUGGGUUCCAGUCCCAUGUUGGGCA
This 73-nucleotide transfer RNA is filed under the name Takifugu rubripes (torafugu). RNAcentral's name for it is "tRNA-Lys (TTT) (tRNA-Lys-TTT-10-1)". It matches the Rfam family "tRNA". From Rfam's summary of the family: Transfer RNA (tRNA) molecules are approximately 80 nucleotides in length. Their secondary structure includes four short double-helical elements and three loops (D, anti-codon, and T loops). Further hydrogen bonds mediate the characteristic L-shaped molecular structure. tRNAs have two regions of fundamental functional importance: the anti-codon, which is responsible for specific mRNA codon recognition, and the 3' end, to which the tRNAs corresponding amino acid is attached (by aminoacyl-tRNA synthetases). tRNAs cope with the degeneracy of the genetic code in two manners: having more than one tRNA (with a specific anti-codon) for a particular amino acid; and 'wobble' base-pairing, i.e. permitting non-standard base-pairing at the 3rd anti-codon position. The record is from RNAcentral. Lineage: Eukaryota; Metazoa; Chordata; Actinopteri; Tetraodontiformes; Tetraodontidae.